RNAcentral lists this unclassified non-coding RNA (2939 nucleotides) under Leishmania donovani. RNAcentral describes it as "gene:LdHU3.06.0410(CDS-product:serine_peptidase_c lan_SC_family_S9A-like_protein)". The record is from RNAcentral. Lineage: Eukaryota; Euglenozoa; Kinetoplastea; Trypanosomatida; Trypanosomatidae.
GCCUUGGCCCCUUCCCCCCUUUUCGCCCACCAAAAACACAAAGCAACUCUCCUGAGGCUAGCCCGACUGCAAGGCGCAGGGUAGGUGGGAAUAAUGGCUGCACUUUUUCCGUGGGUGCCAACGUCGAAUCUGGGCUACUCUUUAUCGCGUAGGGUGGUGAACAAAUGGUGCCCGCAACUCCGCAGCUCGUAUCCGCUUCCUAUGCUGGACGGACCGUUCCCCACCGAGAAGCCUGAGGGUCUCGAGCUGCAUGGAGAGACCCAGAAACCGGACCCGUUCCGCUACAUGGAAGACUUGUUCGACCGGAACACUCAAGAAUAUACGAAAAAGGAGAUGCAGCACUUCUCCCUGAUUAGCAGUAAGUUUGACUUUCGACAUUCCAAGGGUCGUUUGUGGGCGGAGCUUGAUGCCAAGGUGGUGGUGAGCAGCCGUGAGGGCGGAUACGACAAGGGCGAGGAGCGCAUCGGUGACUACGUGUACUUUACCCGUGUCGUACCCGGGCACGACUCGAAUGCGAUAGGGUUUUACCGGAAGCGAUUUGGGGAGGUUGAUCUCCUGGCCGAGGAACUCAUCAACCCUCUCUUCCUCCAGCAACACUUCGGCUACAAGGACUGUUCCAUUGGUAUCUGCCGCGUCUCAGAAGACGGCCGCUACCUCGCAUACACCCUUUCGGUGGAGGGUGGCGACAGGUAUUUGUGCCACAUUCGCAGUGUUGACAAUGCCACCCUGUUUCACGUGAUUCGCGGUACAAACAUCGUGAGCAUCGAGUUUGGCUCCGGCAACCAGUUUUUCUACACCGAGUCGAACGAGUUGAACCGGCCUCACCGCGUCAUGAUGCAGGAAAUACGACCCGGCAUAUUAGAGCCACCGGUGGAGAUUUACCGUGACGACGACGAGCAGUUUUUCGUGGAUGUGCGCAAGACGAAGGAUAACAAGUACGUCACGAUAACCUCGGACUCGAAGGUGAACUGCAACGCGCUAGUCGUGCCCGCAUCCUUCCCUGUUAUUCCGACCCCUCUCAAGUCCUUCUUCAAGGAGGGCAAGCCGCUCGAGAUUGCAGGGAAGUCAGGAUGGAACUGGCUGGAUCACUACAACGGCAGCUUUGUCAUGGUGACAUCCGACAAGGGGCCGAACUACCGUGUGGUGUACAUUCGCGACGAGGUGGCGCUGGCUUAUGGGAAGGAGGCGGAGUGGAAAGAGCUUGUGCCGCACCGCGACAACGUGCAAAUCGAUGACGUCGAUCUGUUCCACGGUCGCAUCAUCCUUCACGAGUCGCACUUCGCCUUCGAGCGCAUUCAGCACAUCCGCGUCAUCAAGUGCGACGGCGGCCUCGACGCCGCUGCGCAGACACCACGAAGCGAGGACGUGGUGCUGCACUUUCCCCCGCUAAGCACGGUGACCCCAGGCCUGAACAAGAACUUUAGGCAAAAGGCAAUGAGCUUCGUCUACAGCAGCCUGAUUCAGCCGCCGCGCGACUGUGUCUUCAACUUCGACUCUGACAUCACGCCUAGCCAGGCGAGGCUGUGCGCGUCUGAGGCGCUCUUCACACAACGCCAGUCGGAGCACUUCACGCCGUGGGAUUACAUGUGGCCCUACAGCAUCUACCGCGAUGUCUGCGUCUCGGAAGACGGGACGGAGAUCCCAAUAACGAUAUGCCAGCGCCGUGACGCAUUCAUUCAGGAAGCGACGGACUUUGAGGCGCAGCCCAACAUGCCCAAGCACUGCCUCAUCUACGUGUACGGCUCCUACGGCGAAGUUCCGUCGAUGCACUUCCAGCUGGCCCCGUACAUGUGGAUGUUGCGGCGACGUUGGACCGUUGCCUUCGCGCACGUCCGUGGCGGCGGCGAGCUGCCCAACUGGGCACAGUUGGGGAAGGGAGAGAACAAAAUCAAGUCUAUCCAGGACUUCAUCGCGUGCUGCGAGCACAUGGUGGACAUGGGCUACACAAAGCCAGAGCUGAUGGUGGCUGCGGGGGCGAGCGCCGGCUGUGUACCGAUUGCGGCAGCCAUGAACAUGCGCGGGUGUGGGCUGUUCGGCAAUGUACUGAUGCGGUCGCCGUUCCUGGAUAUCAUUAACACCAUGAUAGAUCCCGACCUCCCUCUUUCACUCGCCGAGCGCGAGGACUGGGGUGACCCGCUCAACAACAAGAGAGACCUGGACCUGCUCAAGCAGUACGACCCAUACUACAACUUGAACGACCGUGUGACGUACCCUGGAAUGAUGAUAUCGGCCUGCCUCGAUGACGACCGUGUUCCGGCUUGGAACGCGCUCAAGUACGUGGCAAAGCUGCGGCAGCAGCGCACCCGCAAGGACGUGGACCCGGUCGCUCGCCCUCUGGUGCUGCGCAUGCGACCAAGCGGCGGCCACUACUUCUGGGGCGACACAGAGAACAUCUGCGAGGAGCUUGCGUUUCUGUGUUCGCAGUUGGACCUUGAGGGUCCUGGCAAGAUGCUUAACGACAUGGAUGUCAUGACCCACAUGCACAACCUUACCGCCACCGGUGCCAUGGAUCACGACGACCAGCAAAAGGUGUUCCUGAAAUGGGAUAACUGGGAGAGGGAGCGCAUUGACUACCACGUGAAGCUGAACUCCUUCAAUUGGGAGCCGAACUUCCGCACGGUGAAGGCUCGGAAGGAGCCGUUCUUCUGGGUGCCGACGGACUCGGAGCUUGACCAGAAGAAGGUGGACGAAAUUUUUCGUGCAAAGGAACGCGACGCCCGAGAGAGCGUUCGCUCUGGGGCGAAGCUGGGGAGCUUUGGCAAGGCAACCGGUCGCAACCUCUAUCGAGAGGAGCAGCGCGGGAAGCCGUAGUCUCUACGAUGGCGUGUGCAAAGCGCCUCCGUGGCGGUGGUGUGUGAGCGCAGGAUGGAGUCGACCCCGUGUGCGUUAUGAUGGUUCGGAUGUGUACAAUCGUCGUGAGCCACCGUUAGCUCUCACAG